AUACGUAGGGGACGAGCGUUGUCCGGAAUUACUGGGCGUAAAGGGCGCGCAGGCGGAUAUUUAAGUCAGCUGUAAAAGGCAUGAGCUCAACUCAUGUAUGCGGUUGAAACUGGGUAUCUAGAGUGCUGGAGAGGUAGGCGGAAUUCCCGGUGUAGCGGUGAAGUGCGUAGAUAUCGGGAAGAACACCAGUGGCGAAGGCGGCUUACUGGCCAGCAACUGACGCUGAGGCGCGAAAGCCAGGGGAGCGAACGGGAUUAGAUACCCCGGUAGUCCUGGCCGUAAACGAUGAAUGCUAGGUGUGGGUGUCGAGAGGCAUCCGUGCCGGAGUUAACGCGAUAAGCAUUCAGCCUGGGGAGUACGAUCGCAAGAUUGAAACUCAAAUGAAUUGGCGGGG
RNAcentral lists this ribosomal RNA (394 nucleotides) under uncultured bacterium. RNAcentral's name for it is "partial 16S ribosomal RNA". It matches the Rfam family "Bacterial small subunit ribosomal RNA", at positions 523 to 918 of the family's 1533-position model. The record is from RNAcentral.